GUCGCUCCAUCCCCGGGAUCUUUUCCGGGGACGGGGCGCGGCCGCCGGGGGGCGAUCCCGCCCCCGGGCCCGUGCCCGCCGGGGACACCAACACUGAACACUGUCUGAAGGUUGCAGUCUGAGUUUUCAUAAAAGAAAAAUCGUUAAAACUUUCAACAACGGAUCUCUUGGUUCCGGCAUCGAUGAAGAACGCAGCGAAAUGCGAUACGUAAUGUGAAUUGCAGAAUUCAGUGAAUCAUCGAGUCUUUGAACGCACAUUGCGCCCUCUGGUAUUCCGGGGGGCAUGCCUGUCCGAGCGUCAUUGCUGCCCUCAAGCACGGCUUGUGUGUUGGGCCCCCGUCCCGGUUAAACAUUAGCCCCGGGACGGGCCCGAAAGGCAGCGGCGGCACCGUGUCCGGUCCUCGAGCGUAUGGGGCUCUGUCACCCGCUCGUGUAGGUCCGGCCGGCGGCCAGCCCGACUUUUCAACCAAUCUUUUUUGGAUUUUAACCAGGUUACCUCGGAUCAGGUG
This 509-nucleotide ribosomal RNA is filed under the name Aspergillus sp. 711. RNAcentral describes it as "eukaryotic LSU rRNA". The stretch from base 148 to 301 matches the Rfam family "5.8S ribosomal RNA". The record is from RNAcentral. Lineage: Eukaryota; Fungi; Ascomycota; Eurotiomycetes; Eurotiales; Aspergillaceae.